RNAcentral lists this ribosomal RNA (253 nucleotides) under uncultured bacterium. RNAcentral's name for it is "partial 16S ribosomal RNA". It matches the Rfam family "Bacterial small subunit ribosomal RNA", at positions 524 to 776 of the family's 1533-position model. The record is from RNAcentral.
UACAGAGGUCCCGAGCGUUGUUCGGAUUCACUGGGCGUAAAGGGUGCGUAGGUGGUGAGGUAAGUCGGAUGUGAAAUCUCCGGGCUCAACCCGGAAAUGGCAUUGGAAACUACCUUGCUUGAGGAUUUGAGGGGGGAUUGGAAUUCCUGGUGUAGCGGUGAAAUGCGCAGAUAUCAGGAGGAACACCGGUGGCGAAGGCGGGUCUCUGGGCAACAACUGACGCUGAGGAGCGAUAGCGUGGGGAGCGAACAGG